Molecule: long non-coding RNA, 1485 nt
Organism: Panthera uncia (snow leopard)
Lineage: Eukaryota; Metazoa; Chordata; Mammalia; Carnivora; Felidae
Exons: 2
Source: RefSeq, a predicted model, not a curated record
GGACACAGAAGAUGCUGGCACACAGUAAACAUUCGGCGACCGUUGGCUGCCAGCGUCAUGACUUCUUCUACAAUUACUGUCAUUGCUACUGCUGCCGCAGGGGAGGGCCAAGGGACCUAGGCCUUCAGCAUUUCACAGGUUCGUUUAAUCCGUAUAGCCUGAAAGUCCGGGACACCUUUAAACUCCUGAAGAACCUUCGCACGUGACUUCAGGUGCAAGCAGGUCUCCCUUGGCCUUCAUUAUUUGCCACUGGAAAAUGCUGUAAAUGACAUCAGACAGACUUCAGACGCCACCUCUGGAACUAAGAAACGAAGCAGUUAUUCAGAGCACCGGUGAUUGUCAUUUUAGAAGAAAUAAGAAAUCAGUAUCGCAGUCGUGGAUCCUGGCAGUUUUUUCCUACCUGGAGCUGCUCUCGGUGGAAGCGUUGUGGCUUUCAAGGGCAACAGCGCCCCCGUGUGGUGAUACUGUUUAUUGCGCCCCAGGAGAGCUUGCAAACUCCGGGGCUGCAAGGAAAUGCCGGGCGGCCUCAGGCAAGGACAUCCAUUCACCCCAAAAUAAUUUCUGCAUUAAGCCGACAGGCUGGUUUCUGCCAAAAAGAUGAGCGCAUUUAAGUUUUACUGUACUGAUAUUGUGUCUUAAAACUUAGCAUCUCUUCUUGCCUGUGAAAGCAGGAAAAGGGCGGCCAGCGGCAUGGGUUGCUUGCAAUCCUUUCCAGGGUUUGAAAGUGUGGGGUGAGUGGAAGGCGUGGGAUUGCAGGGACGAAGUGAAGAUCAGGAGGGAGGAGGAGUGGCCCGGCAGGGCUGGGAGCCAGGGAGUAGAGGGGGUAGGGUAACAUUUGGUAAUAAAAAUGAUGGGAAGUAGAAUAGCUUGUAUUUUAAACUAGAAUCGAUGGCUGCAUAGCAACAGAGAAGCAAAUCGGUGUCACCAAAAUUCAGAAUUCCUAGCUCUAACGUGAUGCUUUCCAUGGCUGCCUCCCUACCUCAGGCGGACCCUCCAUGCUCUCUUGAGAAAGAAGGAUCUAGUUUCUCCUAACUGUGAGUGUCUGGGAUGCCCCUCCAGAAGCUUCCCAAACCACUGUGCCCUGACCUCUGAGGAGCUGAGGUAGAGAAGGACAAGCACAGGACUCGAAACCCCAAGACUGGAUUCUGUUCCCAGCAUCGUUGGGGUGCUAAGCGGGAAGGCAUUCAUCACCCACCUCUCUUGUCGUUCUUAAGUUCUCUGCGGACAGCACACCCCUGACACCCGCACCCUGCCUACAGCUCCCCCCUUCUCCUCUCUUGGAGGCCACUGCACCUUGACUUGUGGGCUGCCACAGGGCACAGGGGGCUCCAGGGUCCCCACCGGAAAAGCGGAAAGAGUGCCCCCUGCUGACCUCACAGAGUUAUCUCAAGCGUUAAACUGCAUCUGAGAAUGAAUUCCUGAAUCGUCGCACCUACGAUGGGCACCUUUAGAUCUAUGAUAGAAAUAAAUAAAUAAUAACCUAAA